This 348-nucleotide RNase P RNA is filed under the name human gut metagenome. RNAcentral's name for it is "Bacterial RNase P class A". It matches the Rfam family "Bacterial RNase P class A". Rfam says of the family: Ribonuclease P (RNase P) is a ubiquitous endoribonuclease, found in archaea, bacteria and eukarya as well as chloroplasts and mitochondria. The record is from RNAcentral.
GGGACGGACAGUCGCGGGCACAGUGCUGAAAGGCCGUGCAUGAGGAAAGUCCGGGCUCCACAGGGCAAGGAUAACGGGUAACGCCCGCCCAGAGCGAUCUGAGGAAAAGUGCAACAGAAAGAAACCACCCUGCUUUUGCAGGGAACGGGUGGAAAGGCGAGGUAAAAGCUCACCCAAUGGCUCGAGAGUGUCCAUUGCUGUAAACUCUAUCCGGAGCAACACCGCAGAGGAAGCGGGAUUCGUCCCAGGCCUGCCCGGCUGCUUCCGAGAAGGUGGCUUGACCGCACCGGCAACGAUGCGGCUAGAUAGAUGACUGUCGAUUACAGAACCCGGCUUACAGACCCGAUC